This 4011-nucleotide long non-coding RNA is filed under the name Sus scrofa (pig). RNAcentral's name for it is "lncRNA (ENSSSCG00060028104.1)". Lineage: Eukaryota; Metazoa; Chordata; Mammalia; Artiodactyla; Suidae. The record is from RNAcentral.
AGAAGAGGAAAGAGAAAGGAGCAGAACAGCCCGUAACUUCUGUUCUGGCUUCUCCAGAAGCAGAUCCUGAGAGGAGGAACCUUGUGAAAGUGAUUCAUUAGAAAGUGUUUUUAGGGAGGCGUAGUGGAAAUGAAUCCGCCUAGUGUGUUCGAUCCUUUGGCCUUGCUCAGUGGGCUGGGGACCAGUGUUGCCAUGAGCGGCGGUGUAGGUUGGAGACGUGGCGCAGGUCUGGCUUUGCUGUGGCUGUGGUGUAGGCCAACAGGUACAGCUCCGAUUCACCCCCUAGCCUGGGAGUUUCCAUAUGCCUUGGGUGGGCCCUAAAAAUAAAUAAAAAUAAGGGGAUGAGGGCACAGGAUGAGGACGAGGAGGACAUCAAGCAGGAGCGCAAUAGAAGCUGACCACAAGCCGAGGGUUCUUGUGAACGUGCGUCAUUGAGAAGUGUUUUUAGGCCAUGCUAAGCGAAGUCCUGUGAUAGUGGUGCUGUAACCAGCUCGGUCCGCAGGCAGAAAUGGGGACAGUGUGGAUCACAUCUCAGAGUUGCCUCAAUCAGGGACGAGAGACCCGGAGUAUGGGUCCCCUGGCAUCCACAGUCACUUGUUAAGGGCGGUCUGUGGUUUGGGAGAAUGUAAAUGCUAAGAUACUUCCUGCUUCCUGUGUGCCCAGGUGAAGCACCUUCUAGCAGCCUGAGAGCAGUCCCCUGACAAAGAGACGCAGGUGCUGGUUGUUAAGAAAAAACUCACAUUGGAAACUAGUGUGCAUGACAAGAAUGAAGGGAUCUGAUCAAAAUCCUGGCCGUGUCUGCUACAGCCCAGACCUCCAGAUCCCGAGUAGGUGGCAUAUAAAGCAUUAGUUGGAUGUGAGAUUAAAGUUUAGCUUUAUUCUAGACUGCACCUUUGAGACCUGAAAUUAAGACUGAUCUUAUAGCCGAUUAUACAGGCAAGAAAAACUCCAAGAAAAUCUGCUUAGUAGCAAUGGAAUGACGCAUUAGUAUGUGAUGCUCUUUAUCAGCUCGAGGAGGUUCCCUUUUAUUUCUAGUUUGCUUCGAGUUUCAAAAAAAUCAUAACUGGCUAUUGAAUUUGGUCUAAUGCUCUUCUAAAUGAAUCGAUCCUAUUAAAUGGAUCUUCUUCUAUUGUUAAUUUAGUGGAUCACAUUGAUUUUUGAAUAUCGAGCCAACCUUGCCGUCCGGCAGCAAGCCUCACUUGGUCAUAGUUGUUACACUUUUUUUUAGUUGCUAGAUUCAAAUUGUUAGUGUUUUGUUGAGGAGUUUUAUAUCCAUGGGCAUGAGAGACAUUGGUCUGUAGUUUUCUUCUCUCGUGUUAUCUUUGUCUCACUUGGUAGCAGGGAAAAUGCUAGCUUGAUAAAACGAGAAAUAUUCCCUCCUCUUCUAUUUUUCUGGAAAAGAUUAUAUAGAAUUGGUGUUCUUUAAGUGUUUGGGAGAAUGCUCUAGUUAAGCCAUCUAGGGCUGGAGAUUUCUUUUUUGGAAGGUUUUAGAUUAUGAAUUCAAUUUCUUUCGUUGUUAUGGAACUACCAAUUUUUUUUUAAAUUUUGUCUUUUUAGGGCCACACCCGAAGCACAUUGAGGUCCCCAGACUAGGGGUCAAAUCGGAGCUGUAGCCACUGACCUACACCACAAUGACAGCAACGCCAGAUCUGAGCCGCGUCUGUGACCUGCACCACAGCUCAUGGCAACACCGGAUCCUAACCCACUGAGCGAGGCCAGGGAUCGAACCUGCAUCCUCAUGGAUCCUAGUUAGAUUCGUUUCCCCUGAGCCACGACAGGAACUCCUGUACCACAUUUUCUUAAUCCAUUCAUCUGUUGAUGGACAUUUAGGUUGUUUCCAUGUCUUGGCUGCAGUGAACAUGGGGGUGCAUGUAUCUUUUUGCAUGGAAGUUUUGUGCAGAUACAUGCCCAGGCUGGGAUUGCCGGAUCCUAUGGUAGUUCUGUAUUUAGUUUUCUGAGGAAUCUCCAUACUGUUUUCCAUAGUGGUUAUACCAGUAUGUUGACUGUUUUUUUCUUUUUUAUCCUGUUCAGGCCUCACCUGCAGCAUAUGGAAGUUCCCAGGCUAGGGGUUGAAUCUGAGCUAAAGCUGCCAGCCUACACUACAGCCACAGCAACAUGGAUCCAGGCCGAGUCUGUGACCUACAGCUUACACCCCAGAUCAUGGCAGCGCUGGAUCCUUAAACCACUGAGUGGGGCACCAGGGAUUGAACCUGCAUCAUGGAUACUAGUCGGGUUCGUUACUGCUGAGCCACAGCGGGAACGCUGUGUUGACUGUUUUAAAAUAGCAGUUAGACAUUUCUGUCUUCCAGCCGUAGUUGUCCAUUAUAAACUUUAAGUAAAAGAGCUCCUGACAGUUCCUGUACCUAAAAUAUAAUGCAAAAUUUUGGCUUUUUUCCCCCAAACCAGCGUUCAGGUAAGUGCUCAUUGAAAUAAUGAAAUAGAAGAUAUAUAUAUUUUUAUGGCGACACUCAAAGCAUGGAAGUUCCCAGGCCAGGGAUUGAAUCCAAGCCACAGCUGUGACCUACGCUGCAGACGUGGCAAUGCUGGAUCCUUUAACCCACUGCACUGGCUUUGCCGUGGAUCAAACCUGCACUUCUGCAGCAACCCAAGCCGCUGCAAUUAGGUUCUUAACCUACUGCACCACAGCAGGAAGUCCAGAAGAUAUUUCUUGAAUAUCAUUGGCAAGAAGUUACAAGAUUUAUGGUGAAGGUGAGAAUAAACGAAAAUCCUUAGGGAGUUCCACCAUGGCGCAGCGGAAAUGAAUCCGACUAGGAACCAUGAGGUUGCAGGUUCGAUCCCUGGACUCACUCAGUGGGUUAAGGGUCUGGCAUUGACAUGAGCUGUGGUGUNUGGGUCCAAGACGCGGCCUGGGUCCCACAUUGCUGUGGCUGUGGUGUAGGCAGGCAGCUGUAGCUCAGAUUAGACCCCUAGCCUGGGAACCUCCAUAUGCUAUGGAUGUGGCCCUAAAAAGACAAAAGAAAAGAAAAGAAAAUCCUUAUACAGGGUUGGGGAGAAAAUAAAUUGGUAAUGUCUUUUCAGAGCUGCUUGACAGUAUCUGUCCAAUUUUAAAUUUUAAGAUAGGUGUUUCUACUCAGCAAUUCUACUUCUAGUUUUUUUUUUUUUUUUGUCUUUUGUCUUUUUAGGAUCGCACCCACAGCAUAUGGAGGUUCCCAGGCUAGGGGUCCAGUUGGAGCUGUAGCUGGCAGCGUGCACCACAACCACAGCAACUUGGGAUCUGAGCCCAGUCUGCGACCUACACCGCAGCUCAAGGCAACGCAGGAUCCUUAACCCACUGAGCGGCGCCAGGGAUCAAUCCUGCAACCUCACGGCUCCUAGUUGGAUUCGUUUCCACUGCGCCACGACGGGAACUCCCUCUACUUCUAGAUAUUUAACCAAGAGAUGUAUUUGCUCGUUAGCACAAACAGGAAUAUAUAAGCCUAUUCAUGUCAACAUUAUUUAUAAAAGCCGAGGACACAAGCAUUUCAAAAGUGUGUCACUAAGGGAAUCGUGAAAUAAAGUCUGGAACAUCCACACCCUGGAACAUCAUGCAGCCGUUGAACAGAAAGAGAUGGGCUGCCCCGUGGGAAGAUGCUCAAGAUCCAUUUUUAGGCAGAAACAUGUUUAAGAGAAAACUUUGUGAUAGGGAGAAAAAAAUCUUCACUGCUUAUGUGUAUGGGUUCUUACAGGCAUAUCAGUGUAUCUGAAGAUACAUCAGUAUGCUAUCUCUAGGCUUGAGGGCUAGAAAUGGGAUAAAUUUCUUCUUUUACUACCUUCCCCUGACCUCUCACGCCUGAGCCCUUGGUGAGGAUACAGCUUAAAUCAGUGGCCGGGAGUUCCCGAUGUGGCUCAAAGGGAUCGGUGGCAUCUCUGCAGCGCCAGGGUGUAGGUUCAGUCCCUGGCCUGGCCCCGUGGGUUAAAGGAUCCAGUGCUGCUGCAGCUGCCAUGUAGGUCGCAACUAUGGAUCGGGUUGGAUAUCUGGCCUGGGAACUCCAUAUGCUGAAGGGCGGCCAG